CUCUUCCCUUUCAAGAAGCCCUUUCUGGGGGAGCUCCUCGUUUGGCCUCUCCCUUCCCCCGUGUACUGAUGGCUCCUACACUGUAGCACACCCAGAUAUUCUAUCCAUGUCUCUGCCCGUUCUCUGCUUUUCUGUUUAGAACUGCUCAGAAUUUCCCACACCAGAGCCUUCUGCUCCCACUCCCAACCCCAUCUAUCCCAUGUGUCAUCACUCCCCAGCCCAUCCAGGAUGCCUUCCUCCCCCUGAAGGCUCACGGUCCACUGGGUGUUUGCUUCCACACUCGGCUAGCCUGCCCUUCUCACCUCAUUCCUGUGACACCCCUGCCAUCCUGACUCCUUCCUGCCCCGACUGGCACACAACCCCUUCCAUUCAUGAAGCCAGGGCCACGUAUCUCUCAUGAGAAAAAUCUUUUCGCUGAGCCUGGAGCAUCACCCCCGACUCACCUGGUUCUCAGUCUACCCAUCCCACCCAGCACCCCUCCUGCUGACUGUCCUCACACUGAUUCCCGACCCGCUCCUUUGCUGGCGCUUGUCUCCCUCCACUCACAUGGAUUAAGAGCACAUUCUGCUGUGAAUGACAGACAGUGCAAUUCCCACUUCCUUAAACAAAUAGACAAAAAGAAUUGGUUGGCUUAUGUAAAUGAAAAGCCCAGGCACUGCUGCCUCAGGUCUGGAUUUAGUUCUAGACACUGAAGAAUCCAGAGAGUCGCCAUCUCUCAGCUUUGCUUCCUUCUGCAUGGGACCCCAGCAGAUCCAGGCUCACAACCUCACAGCAACAAGUCCAGCAGAGAAAGAGCUUCUCUUUGUCAACCAUCCCACCAGGCCUUGGGCCUGGCUCUCAUCAGCAGGAGUGGGCCACCUGUCCCUCCUGUUCUCCCAGCCACCGUGACCUCGAGGGAUUCUCCCAGAAACUUUGUAAAGUAGAUGGAGCCAUUACAGGAAUUCCUCCUCAACUUUGCAUCUCUCUAGUUGAAAUGCUGGUCUAUGUGGUUGGAUUUCUACGUCCUUUUUCCACACUCAGGAGCCAUUAUAAUGGAGGCAGGACAAAUGAAGCAGAAUCCAAGAGAUUCCCUCAAAGAAUUCUCUGGGAUGGCUGUAGUCAGAGUAGACAAUCAGAGAUCUCAGAAUCUGGUGCAAAGUCCUUCUGAUACCUAAGUCAUGGGGAAGGUCUUCUAGGAAGCCCUCCUUGACUGGCCUGGUCCAUAUCCUUCCUCGCCCCACUGGAACAUUUGCUGUUGUUCGAGUCUCCUGCUCUGCUCUGUCCUGUGACCUCCGCACCUCUGCGUCCUGAGGACACAGCACAGGUUGCUUCUCAAGGUCAUCGGCUGGGUCUUCAGUGUCUCCUGGACUCCACGUUUGCGCUCCUGAGCCGUGGCCCAAGCCCUGCAUUGUCCUACCAGUUCCCUUUUUGCCCUUUCCUCCCUGCCUCCAGAACUGACCUGCCUACCUUAUGACCCUUUACUCUGCUAUGAAACCAAGGAUCUGGUUUGUAAUAAUCUAAACAUGCGGUGUAAUUUUUCAUUUUAUUAGGAGAGGAGCCAAAUUUUAGGCAGCCUUGUCUCUUGGCUAGGUGUCUUACCCCAGCUGCCUUAUUUAUGGCAAAACCUCUUUGAGGCAGGUGCAUUACUCUUUUUGCCAAUGUGGAAAUUAAGGAGCCAUGCGCUCAAGAUGGCACGGGGGUUGGGGGGGGUGAUAGGGCAGGGGAGUGAGGUCCAGGGCACGGCCUUUUCAAUCAUUUCCUCAGCUCCUGGUAUCCCUUUCUUGCUCUGCAGUGUUAGCAAUUGUCACCAGAUGGUGUCGCGAGGCAGCUGCGAGCCGGGCUCCCCUGGAUGGAGCUGGGGGGAGGCCGAGCCUGCGGCCCCCACCUUCACCACCAGGGGGCAGGCGGGGGAAGGCAAAGGGCUGUAGGGCCGCGCAGAGGAGGGGAGCUCUAAGGGGCUGGGAGCCCUGCUCCCUCCGAGCUGGGGCAGGCCGCAGCCCUUCACUGAUUAUGUUGGUCACUCUAAACAUUACAAGCUCCAAAAUGUGCUAUUGAACUCUUCCUUCCAUAUGUCACAGCACCGUAGCCUACCAAGCAGAACUUGAUGGAUAACAUCAACGCUAUCCCCUCUGCAACUCCUGGCUGGAGCAGCAAAGAGAAUCACCCCCCAUUACCUCUGCAGAUGCUUUCCAGGCUUAAUUUCAUCUUAUCUUUACGUCUUUGAGAGGUUCUGAGAAGGGAGAUGCCUUGCCCAAGUUUACAAGAUCGCAAUCCCAGUCAAACGCCUUCAAAGUUUCUUUUUGUUUGUUUGUUUGUUUGUUUGUUCCACCCCCCCCCCCCCCCCCGCACCUCCCCUGCCU
Molecule: long non-coding RNA, 2339 nt
Organism: Canis lupus familiaris (dog)
Lineage: Eukaryota; Metazoa; Chordata; Mammalia; Carnivora; Canidae
Exons: 4
Source: RefSeq, a predicted model, not a curated record